UUCAAUGUGGCAGAACAAGUGCCAUGAAUUUAAGAUUCAUAUAUAAAGAUAUAUCUUUCAUUGAAA
This 66-nucleotide transfer RNA is filed under the name Isometopus sp. RNAcentral describes it as "tRNA-Leu". The record is from RNAcentral. Lineage: Eukaryota; Metazoa; Arthropoda; Insecta; Hemiptera; Miridae.